GAUGAACGCUGACAGAAUGCUUAACACAUGCAAGUCGAUUCGAUUUACCUUCGGGUAUUGAGGAUGGCGGACGGGUGAGUAACGCGUAAGGAACUUGCCUCUUGGUCUGGGACAACUGUUGGAAACGACAGCUAAUACCGGAUAUUAUGAGAUUCUCGCAUGGGAAACUUAUGAAAGCUAUAUGCGCCAAGAGAGAGCCUUGCGUUCCAUUAGCUAGUUGGUGGGGUAACGGCCCACCAAGGCGACGAUGGAUAGCCGGCCUGAGAGGGUGAACGGCCACAAGGGGACUGAGACACGGCCCUUACUCCUACGGGAGGCAGCAGUGGGGAAUAUUGGACAAUGGGCCACAAGCCUGAUCCAGCAAUUCUGUGUGCACGAUGAAGGUCUUCGGAUUGUAAAGUGCUUUCAGUUGGGAAGAAGAAAGUGACGGUACCAACAGAAGAAGCGACGGCUAAAUACGUGCCAGCAGCCGCGGUAAUACGUAUGUCGCAAGCGUUAUCCGGAUUUAUUGGGCGUAAAGCGCGUCUAGGCGGAAAAAUAAGUCUGAUGUUAAAAUGCGGGGCUCAACUCCGUAUUGCGUUGGAAACUGUUUUUCUAGAGUACUGGAGAGGUGGGCGGAACUACAAGUGUAGAGGUGAAAUUCGUAGAUAUUUGUAGGAAUGCCGAUGGAGAAGUCAGCUCACUGGACAGAUACUGACGCUAAAGCGCGAAAGCGUGGGGAGCAAACAGGAUUAGAUACCCUGGUAGUCC
Molecule: ribosomal RNA, 750 nt
Filed under: uncultured prokaryote
Description: bacterial SSU rRNA
Rfam family: Bacterial small subunit ribosomal RNA
Source: RNAcentral